CGGUGGCUAUAGCGAAGAGGUCACACCCGUUCCCAUCCCGAACACGGAAGUUAAGCUCUUCAGCGCCGAUGGUACUGCGUGGGAAGCUACGUGGGAGAGUAGGUCGCCGCCGAAUC
RNAcentral lists this ribosomal RNA (116 nucleotides) under uncultured Desulfobacterium sp. Lineage: Bacteria; Pseudomonadati; Thermodesulfobacteriota; Desulfobacteria; Desulfobacterales; Desulfobacteriaceae. The record is from RNAcentral.